Ostrinia nubilalis (European corn borer) is the source of this 551-nucleotide long non-coding RNA. RefSeq lists it as uncharacterized. NCBI's taxonomy places the organism in Eukaryota, Metazoa, Arthropoda, Insecta, Lepidoptera, Crambidae. The record is from RefSeq and is a predicted model, not a curated record. The transcript has 3 exons.
UUUCUGCAGUCUGGUUUUAAAUUUGGUCGUGUGUAGUGGAAUACGUAGCAAUGAGAAUAGCAUCGGUUUUGUUCAUAAUCCUUGCAGUAAUGAUAGAAUUAGUGCGCAGUGCGAAUAUUCGCGCGAAACGCAGCGCCGAGUCCCUGAUUGGCUCUACCAACCUUGGCGCAACGACCACCUUUGGCGAGCAAGGGGUGGCAGACUGUUUGGCGCUGGGCAAUCCUCCUUGGAAGUGUUACACAGAACAGACUGGUAUCAACCCUAACUGGUGACAAGAAGGAACAACAAACACGCGCAACUUAGCAUUUUUUGUAUAUUUAUAGUUUUAUUAAUAACUGUGGAUCUAUUUUGUAGUGAUUUUCGUGCUAUCUGCUGAAAAUGUAAUAGAAAUCUUGGCUAUGGCAACAAUACCAUGGGGAGAGUUAUGGAGUGGGAUAGAGCAAAUGUGGGGUUUGUCGUACCUAAUAACUAAACUCGACCUUACAAAGAAACUAAUAAUGCGUUUAUGAUGAUAAUAUUAUUUUUGUUUUUCUUAUUUAUUUUAAUAAUAU